RNAcentral lists this transfer RNA (69 nucleotides) under Lottia digitalis (California fingered limpet). RNAcentral describes it as "tRNA-Asn". The record is from RNAcentral. Lineage: Eukaryota; Metazoa; Mollusca; Gastropoda; Lottiidae.
UAGAGAGAAGCCAAAAAGCGGCGAUCGCCUGUUAAGCGAAGAACUGGGUAAUUAAUAGCCCCUCUCUAG